GCCCUGAGCAUGACACAAAACUGCCCACCACCGAAUGCCGCAUCAGCUGAUCACCGAUGGCUCAACGGUAUCCGGUGGUACAAGUAAAUAGCACGGCUGCCCAUUGAGCGGGUCAGCCGCAAUCCGAAGCGGAAAGAUUCGUUAGGACUGCGGUCGGUUUCCUAUACCCAUUUUGCAGCAGCACC
RNAcentral lists this non-coding RNA (185 nucleotides) under unclassified sequences. RNAcentral's name for it is "DUF2800 RNA". The stretch from base 28 to 185 matches the Rfam family "DUF2800 RNA". From Rfam's summary of the family: Actinobacteria, Firmicutes, Synergistetes (1 example). The record is from RNAcentral.